GCCGAACCGAGCGAACGUUGUUCGGAAUCACUGGGCUUACAGGGUGCGUAGGCGGCUAUUCAGGUCAGGUGUGAAAGCCCUCGGCUCAACCGAGGAACUGCGCUUGAAACCGGAUGGCUCGAGUCAACUAGAGGUGCACGGAACUUCCAGUGGAGCGGUGAAAUGUGUUGAUAUGCCAUAGAACACCUAUUGCGAAGGCAGCUGGCUAGACCUGUAUUGACGCUGAGGCACGAAAGCGUGGGGAGCGAACAGG
This 253-nucleotide ribosomal RNA is filed under the name uncultured bacterium. RNAcentral describes it as "partial 16S ribosomal RNA". It matches the Rfam family "Bacterial small subunit ribosomal RNA", at positions 524 to 776 of the family's 1533-position model. The record is from RNAcentral.